This 301-nucleotide ribosomal RNA is filed under the name uncultured bacterium. RNAcentral's name for it is "partial 16S ribosomal RNA". It matches the Rfam family "Bacterial small subunit ribosomal RNA", at positions 509 to 807 of the family's 1533-position model. The record is from RNAcentral.
CAGUCGCCACGGGAAUACGAAGGGGGCUAGCGUUGUUCGGAAUUACUGGGCGUAAAGCGCACGUAGGCGGAUCUUUAAGUCAGAGGUGAAAUCCCAAGGCUCAACCUUGGAACUGCCUUUGAUACUGGGGAUCUUGAGUCCGGAAGAGGUGAGUGGAGCUGCGAGUGUAGAGGUGAAAUUCGUAGAUAUUCGCAAGAACACCAGUGGCGAAGGCGGCCCACUGGUCCGGUACUGACGCUGAGGUGCGAAAGCGUGGGGAGCAAACAGGAUUAGAUACCCCUGUAGUCCCUGUCUCUUAUAC